RNAcentral lists this small RNA (124 nucleotides) under Marmota monax (woodchuck). Lineage: Eukaryota; Metazoa; Chordata; Mammalia; Rodentia; Sciuridae. The record is from RNAcentral.
GCCAGGCAUGGUGGCCCGUGCCUGUAAUCCCAGUAGCUGGAGAGGCUGGGACAGGAGGGUCAUGAGUUCAAAGCAAGUCUCAGCAAAAGCAAGUGCUAAGUAACUCAGUGAGAUUCUGUCUCAA